UACGUAGGGUGCGAGCGUUGUCCGGAAUUACUGGGCGUAAAGAGCUCGUAGGUGGUUUGUCGCGUUGUUCGUGAAAACUCACAGCUCAACUGUGGGCGUGCGGGCGAUACGGGCAGACUAGAGUACUGCAGGGGAGACUGGAAUUCCUGGUGUAGCGGUGGAAUGCGCAGAUAUCAGGAGGAACACCGGUGGCGAAGGCGGGUCUCUGGGCAGUAACUGACGCUGAGGAGCGAAAGCGUGGGUAGCGAACAGG
Molecule: ribosomal RNA, 253 nt
Filed under: uncultured bacterium
Lineage: Bacteria
Description: partial 16S ribosomal RNA
Rfam family: Bacterial small subunit ribosomal RNA
Source: RNAcentral